UUGGUGUGGCGUUCACCUAUCCAUCUAUCCAUACUUCACCUUAACAAUAUAGGAACCGGGGUGACACUUCUUAGUGUUGAAUCAUUCCUGACGUUGAGUUCGUUUUCCAUUCCCAUCCUACGAAUUAUUUUCUUGUUAUACCAAACUGACCCAUUUAUCCAUCACCCAUCUUUGCUACACAUAACCGAACCUAUUACUAAACUUACCCUUCUU
Molecule: long non-coding RNA, 213 nt
Filed under: Gossypium barbadense (sea-island cotton)
Lineage: Eukaryota; Viridiplantae; Streptophyta; Magnoliopsida; Malvales; Malvaceae
Description: long non-coding RNA (GBAR_LNC008053)
Source: RNAcentral